UUCACCCUUGGCAAACCUUGUGUUCCAAAUAUAUGUUAAGCAUGUGCAAAUCUUCUACACAUAUUUCUACAAUAUAAUACAAUUAUACAAUUGACCUGAAAAAUCAGAUUAAAAAGGAAAAAAAAUGGAAAAGAAAACAAAAAGCAAGCAAACAACAAAAAAUGUGAAAAUACUAUGUUGUAAUCCUCAUUCAGUCUCUGUAAUCCUCUCUCUAGAUGCAGAUGGCCCUCUCCAUUAAAAAUCUAUUGGAAUUAGCUUGAAUCACCUCAUACAAUACCUUUUUAACAUGAAACAAGGUCAUGCUAAAAAAAUAUACACAAUGGACCAUAUUUUUAAAAAAGGGAAACAUAUGGAAAGAUUUUUGGAAGCAAUAAAUAUGCAGAAGAAGCCAGUUCUUCACUGUGUCUCUGAUUUCCAAUUUGCAUACCUGGAAACUUUGGACAGAGGCUUCCCCCACAGAUGAGAAAAAUAACACUAACAUAAAAUAAGCAUGAUGGAACAAACAGAAAGUUAUAUUCAACUCUAAAUCCCAAAGGAAAUCAGGAAACAUGUAAUAGAAGA
This is a long non-coding RNA of Antechinus flavipes (yellow-footed antechinus), 561 nucleotides long. RefSeq lists it as uncharacterized. The transcript is spliced from 3 exons. NCBI's taxonomy places the organism in Eukaryota, Metazoa, Chordata, Mammalia, Dasyuromorphia, Dasyuridae. The record is from RefSeq and is a predicted model, not a curated record.